AUACGGAGGGUGCAAGCGUUGCUCGGAAUCACUGGGCGUAAAGCGUACGCAGGCGGUUUACUAAGUCGGGUGUGAAAGCCCAGGGCUCAACCCUGGAACUGCAUUCGAAACUGGUAGACUUGAGUACGAGAGAGGAGAGCGGAAUUCCUGGUGUAGAGGUGAAAUUCGUAGAUAUCAGGAGGCACACCCGUGGCGAAAGCGGCUCUCUGGCCCGAUACUGACGCUCAUGUACGAAAGCGUGGGUAGCAAACAGGAUUAGAAACCCCGGUAGUCC
Molecule: ribosomal RNA, 274 nt
Filed under: uncultured bacterium
Lineage: Bacteria
Description: partial 16S ribosomal RNA
Rfam family: Bacterial small subunit ribosomal RNA
Source: RNAcentral